GACGAACGCUGGCGGCGUGCUUAACACAUGCAAGUCGAACGGAAAGGCCCUGCUUUUGUGGGGUGCUCGAGUGGCGAACGGGUGAGUAACACGUGAGUAACCUGCCCUUGACUUUGGGAUAACUUCAGGAAACUGGGGCUAAUACCGGAUAGGAGCUCCUGCUGCAUGGUGGGGGUUGGAAAGUUUCGGCGGUUGGGGAUGGACUCGCGGCUUAUCAGCUUGUUGGUGGGGUAGUGGCUUACCAAGGCUUUGACGGGUAGCCGGCCUGAGAGGGUGACCGGCCACAUUGGGACUGAGAUACGGCCCAGACUCCUACGGGAGGCAGCAGUGGGGAAUAUUGCACAAUGGGCGGAAGCCUGAUGCAGCAACGCCACGUGCGGGAUGACGGCCUUCGGGUUGUAAACCGCUUUCGCCUGUGACGAAGCGUGAGUGACAGUAAUGGGUAAAGAAGCACCGGCUAACUACGUG
RNAcentral lists this ribosomal RNA (468 nucleotides) under uncultured bacterium. RNAcentral's name for it is "partial 16S ribosomal RNA". It matches the Rfam family "Bacterial small subunit ribosomal RNA", at positions 28 to 507 of the family's 1533-position model. The record is from RNAcentral.